This is a small nuclear RNA of Talpa occidentalis (Iberian mole), 109 nucleotides long. The record is from RefSeq and is a predicted model, not a curated record. NCBI's taxonomy places the organism in Eukaryota, Metazoa, Chordata, Mammalia, Eulipotyphla, Talpidae.
GUGUUCACUUUGGCAGCACAUUUGCUAAAACUGGAAUGAUACAAAGAAGACCAGCAUGGCCCCUACUCAAGGAUGGCACCCAAAAUUUCAAAAGGCAAUCUCAAAGUUU